Molecule: unclassified non-coding RNA, 242 nt
Filed under: uncultured Capnodiales
Lineage: Eukaryota; Fungi; Ascomycota; Dothideomycetes; Capnodiales
Description: sequence contains 5.8S rRNA gene, ITS2, 28S rRNA gene
Rfam family: 5.8S ribosomal RNA (bases 1-52)
Source: RNAcentral
AACGCACAUUGCGCCCUUUGGUAUUCCGAAGGGCAUGCCUGUUCGAGCGUCAUUUCACCACUCAAGCCUGGCUUGGUAUUGGGCGUCGCGGUUUUCCGCGCGCCUUAAAGUCUUCCGGCUGAGCUGUCCGUCUCUAAGCGUUGUGGAUUUUUCAAUUCGCUUCGGAGUGCGGGUGGCCGCGGCCGUUAAAUCUUUAUUCAAAGGUUGACCUCGGAUCAGGUAGGGAUACCCGCUGAACUUAA